UUAAAACCCCGCAGGCUUUAUGCGAGAAUAUUAUCACUGAUUAAUGUCCGUAAGCUUUGUGCUCGUACUAUAUCCGAGCUCUAAAGACCCGAUGACUACGUGUGGGAAUUUUAUCCGGGUAAGACCCGAUAACUUCGUGUGGAGAUUAUGUCCGGGUAAGACUUCGUAAUAAGAAUUGCUUAUAAAUAUAUUCAAUGCGAAAGGUUAAACAGGUAUGUACUCCAAGUUUAUAUGUGAGCUUGAUUUGCACUAAAUCAUAAGGUAGUUAUGUGAUGCAUACGAGAGCAAUCUAUGAGACUAUUCCUAUGAUUAUGUGACAUCGGAUCAGUGUGAGAGGCGAUGUGAAAUCAUACGAUAUAUCUAUGUCACAUGAGCUCACUUUUAUGUGAAAGUUUAUCUGCCUAUUGUAUAUGAUGAGAUGUGCAUAUUCGGUAAAGGGAUG
This 442-nucleotide long non-coding RNA is filed under the name Gossypium barbadense (sea-island cotton). RNAcentral's name for it is "long non-coding RNA (GBAR_LNC003271)". Lineage: Eukaryota; Viridiplantae; Streptophyta; Magnoliopsida; Malvales; Malvaceae. The record is from RNAcentral.